This is an RNA transcript of Daphnia pulicaria, 2673 nucleotides long. RefSeq lists it as uncharacterized. The transcript has 9 exons. The record is from RefSeq and is a predicted model, not a curated record. Lineage: Eukaryota; Metazoa; Arthropoda; Branchiopoda; Diplostraca; Daphniidae.
UAAUGUUUAAAUAUAUAAUUUGUCUAUUUAACUAUGGUGUCGUGCUGAUGUUGGGUGUUGUAUCGAUGUCUGGGUCGACCACUGGUGUACCGAUGUUUCCUUCACCAACUCCAUCACCAACUGGAUUGUUCAUCGUUUAACCAGUUCGCAGUUAUGGUCAACUAUAAUGUCCUGCUGCUGUCUGAUGUUGUAUUGUUGAUGGCUGGGUCGACCAAUAGUGUACCAAUGACUUUUGGGCACGGAUACCAAACCGCAAUGCCGACGCCUUAUUACUACACAACAACAUACGCUUCAGCCGGUUAUUACACCAUCAAGGCUCCAGUGAAUUACACCACACCUUAUGAUGCCCCUAGCUACUACACCGACGCCCUGAAUUAUAGAUAUCCUUCAGUUGCUGCAAGCAACCUAUUCCAAUCCCCAGCAACGUUUACCUGCAGAAGAAAAAGGCAGUUUGCAUGACUUUCACAUCCGGAGUUAACUUUGGCUUCGUGCUGCUGUUGAAUGUUGUAUCGUUUCUGGCUGACCACUGGUCCCUGGGUAUGGUGGAUACCAAGCCGCAACGCUGCCGUCUUACUACACAACAACAUACGUACCUACCUGUUACUACACCGGGACUUCCACUUACUACAUUGAAAAUGCUGAAUAUUACACAGGGACGUAUGCUACCCCAGUUUACUACACCGAGGAACCUAAGCAUUACUCUGCUCCGAGCUACAACAGAGGCUCCUGUUUACUACACCACCAACGCAUCUGAAUGUUACAUGAUAAUCUACGCUGCCCUUAACUACUACACUGGAACUUCGAAGUGCAACACUAUCAAUGUAAAACCAAUUUGCAAGCAAGGUGAUGUUUCCUGGGUAUGGCGGAUAUUAAAUCACAACGUUACUGUCUUACUACGCAAAAACUUACUCAAAGACCUGUUACUACACCGGGAUUUUCCAAUACUACACCGAAAAGGCUGAAUAUUUCACAUGGACAGGGAUAAGGCGUCUAUCCCAGUUUACUACACCGAGGAACCUAAACAUUACUGUGCUUCGAACUACAACAUAGGCUCCUGUUUACUACGCGACCAUCGCUCCCGAGUGUUACGCUGUCCCCAACCGCUACAUUGAAGCUCCGAAGUACUACACCAUUGAAGGAAAACUAAUUCGCAUUCAAGGAUUAUUAUGGUGUUGUCUGUUGUUGGAUGUUGUAUUGUUGAUGGCUGGGUCGACCACGAGUGUACCGAUGUCUCCUGGGUAUGGUGGAUUUUAAGUACUAGUAGCUAUAGAAUGGUACACCACUUUACUGCCUUACUACUUAACAACAUCAACAUACGCAACACCUACUUACUACACUGAUGCUCGUAAAUACCACAUCUCCAAGGCUCCAAGAAUAUACACGAAUAUCUACGCUGCUCCGAGCUACUGCACGGAAGUAUCACUCUACCCCAAGUUACAUCAACAAAACGUCUGAGUACUACACUGAGGAUCUCAAAUACUACACCACCAAAGCUACAAAGCACUUCACCGAGGCUGUAGCUUAUUAAACCACCAAAGCGGUCGAGUACUGAGGGGUUUAAGUACUACCCCUUAAGUCUUAACCUACUGCAGAGCAGUAUGUCAACAACUGCCAUAAUCGUAUGAAAUGUUCGCAAUCAUGGUAUAUACUGUGGUGUUGUGUUGCUGUUGAGGAUGGAUUCAUCGUUGAAAGCUGGGUUGAUCAUUGGUCUACUGAGGCCCCUGGAUAUGACGGUGCAUUACCAAAGUGGCAAAGUGCAUCACCAAAGUGCCAGCAAAUUACAUCGAGGUUUUUAAGUACUACCUCACUAAGGCGGCGGUACCGGAAUAUUACACUACGCAUACUGCCCCUGCUACUACACCGGUGUCCUUAACUACUACAACACCCGGCAACAAUUGAACUAUUCCAAUUCUCAAUAAAAUUUAACUUUGGCUUCGUGCUGCUGGUGAGUGUUGUAUCGUUGAUGGCUGAGUCGACCACUGGUGUAUCGAUGUUCCCUGUGUAUAGUGGUUGGCAAACUGGAAUGCUACUAUCUUGCUACACAACAACAUACGCAAUGAUCAGUUACUACUCCGGGGUCCUCUAUUACUCCGAAGAAAAUUACACAUCCUCGUAUGCUACCCCACUUUACUAUACCGAGGAAUUGAAAUGUUACUGUGUUUCGAUAAACGACAGAGGUUGCUUUUUACUACACCAUCAACACCCCUGAAUGUCAAACUACAACCUACGCUACCCACAACUUCACUGAAGCUCCGUAGUACUACACCAUCAAGUAACAACCAAAUCGCAAUCAAAAGUAAAUAUGCUGUGUUAAACUUGUUUUUUUAUCUUUGGUCUUUUUCUUUUCUUUAAAUGUUCUUUAUGUCUGUUUUCCUUAACAACUCUUUGUCUUUAUCUUUUAAGGAAAAUUUAAAUUGCUGCGUGUUAACUUUGUGCUGACUUAAAAGUUUGAUCUUUUGUCUUUCGAGUAUUCAUUCAACCAUGCAGUAUACGACUGAGGCAACUUGAUUAAUAUCAGGUUUGACACAAUCGAGAACUGCUACAUUAAACAAGCUUUCUGCGCCAAACAAAUAAUAACUUGCAUAUAACUUGCAUCAUGUUAUUAUCGCGGUAGAGAAAGCGACAGGCCCCCCCCCCUGGGGGCCAUAGGAAAAAUAAAUGUAUGUAAAAAUU